Pantherophis guttatus is the source of this 880-nucleotide non-coding RNA. The record is from RefSeq and is a predicted model, not a curated record. NCBI's taxonomy places the organism in Eukaryota, Metazoa, Chordata, Lepidosauria, Squamata, Colubridae.
AAAAGAGACCUAUGCUGUUAGAUGGGUGCUGAUGACCUGUAGGCAGUUUCUGGAAGGCAGCAAAAUCCCCUUCGAAGUGUGGACAGACCAGAAGAACUUGGAGGCCCUGAAAGCCCCGAGGAAACUUCCCCCAAACAAGUACGAUGGGCUCAGUACUUUAAUCAGUUCAAUUUCAUUCUUCGGUAUUUGCCAGGGAGGAAGAAUUUCCUUGCAGAUGCGCUCUCACAAAUGCCCCAAUAUAUGAGCACCUGGGAGGAAAUCGUUAACUCCAUCAUCCCCUCCUGGCAACUGGCGGCACAGGUCUCAGCAAAGCGACAGCUGCUAGCUGCUCCUCAGCCGACUGAUGAUGCUCUGAAAUGGCAGCUGAGGGAAGCCCUGGAGGAAGAUGAGUGGUUCAGAGAUCAUAAGAAAGAAUUGACGAUGAGAGAAGGCCUGGCUUGGAAGGGGGAAAAACUGUAUGUCCCAGCCAACCAGAGAACCCUGAUCCUACACAAAGAAGCCACGAUGUGAAGCUGGCAGGCCACUUCAGGGGUCGGCAUGUCAAGAUUGAAUCGCUUUACUUCUUCUGAGCUUCUAUCAGUCUUCAACUUGCCAUUCAAACAGGAGGAGGGAGAGGGGAAAUGGAAUACUAAGAUUUCAUCUAGGACUGUGAGAGCCUGAACCUCACCAAGGUCACUACUGCAGGUGUUAGACGGAGACAUGGACUGAUCCCAUAACAAAAGGAAGAUUUAUACUUGGACCAUGUGAACACCCAGGGAUGGGGAGAAAAGGAAUCUAUUGUUUAACUAAACGAGCAUUUCGGUGGGAAAACCAGAGCUGGUUUUGCUUCUGCAGUUCCCAGAUGAUGUAUUCAAUAAAGUUAUACUUUUGGGAAUUCAAA